UUUACAUAACUUACAAUAAGUCUACAUUAGGUGAAUUGACCAUUUUUGACCUUAAAAGUUCACUUUUUAGGUACUUAAGAGUCAAAUUUGGAGUUUGACCUUAUUCUUUGCUUUUGACCACAUUCCUACCUUUGUUAGACUAAGUUAGACUUGUUAGGAUGUUUACAUACCUUAGAAUAAGUCUACAUUAGCUUAAUUGACCAUUUUUGACCUUAAAAGUUCACUUUUUAGGUACUUAAGAGUCAAAUUUGGAGUUUGACCUUAUUCUUUUCUUUUGACCACUUUCCUACCUUGAUUAGACUAAGUUAGACUUGUUAGGAUGUUUGCAUACCUUAGAAUAAGUUUACAUUAGGUUAAUUGACCAUUUUUUACCUUAAAAGUUCACUUUUUAGGUACUUAAGAGUCAAAUUUCGAGUUUGACCUUAUUCUUUGCUUUUGACCACAUUCCUACUCUUAUUAGACUAAGUUAGACUUGUUAGGAUGUUUACAUACCUUAGAAUAAGUCUACAUUAGGUUAAUUGACCAUUUUUGACCUUUAAAGUUCACUUUUUAGGUACUUAAGAGUCAAAUUUCGAGUUUGACCUUAUUCUUUGUUUUUGACCACUUUCCUACCUUGAUUAGACUAAGUUAGACUUGUUAGGAUGUUUGCAUACCUUAGAAUAAGUCUACAUUAGGUUAAUUGACCAUUUUUGACCUUAAAAGUUCACUUUCUACUUUCCAAAAUUGACUCAAAAUUGGAGGUUUUGGAAGUGAUUUUGUGCCUAAUCCAUUUUGACACUUUCCUAAUCAUUUCAACAGUUUUAAUUCAUCAAAACACACUUGUUUCAACUCUAAUCAGGCACAAAACAGAACUGCAACUCAGAUUCACUUUGCAAGUUCCAAAAAUGGCUCAAAUAUGAUGGUUUGACAUACUAAAUUGCAUACAGGUCAUUCUAACAUCAUAUGAAUGGUUCUAACAACUNUAAUACAUCAAUUUGCACUUGUUUAAACUACCAAACAUCACAGAAUCACAGCAGAACGAAAAAUGACUUGUAAUGACUCAAUUUUACUACACUUUUUAAGGUUUAAAGUAGUGUCAUUUUGAGUUUUAGGGAAUUCUUUGCUUGUCACCACUUCAAAUACCUUUAUUAGACAAAGUAAGAAUUGUUAGAAUGUUUACAUACCUUAGAAUAAGUCUACAUUAGGUGAAUUGACAAAUUUUCACCUUAAAAGUUCACUUUUUAGGUACUUAAAACUCAAACUUUGAGUUUUAGCUUAUUCUUUGCUUUUCACUAAUAUCCUACCUUUAUUAGACUAAGUUAGACUUCUUAGGAUGUUUACAUACCUUAGAAUAAGUCUACAUUAAGUUGAAUUGACAAAUUCUCACCUUAAACUCAGUUUUUGUGUUGUGAUGGAGUGAUUUUUAUGAGUUUUUGGCCAUAGCAAACUCAAAUUUCGAAUUCUACCAUUUUUAUGCUGUGUGACAGUUUUAGGAAGUCUAAAAUGGUGUUUAAAAGUUGCUAGGAGAGUUCAUUUGGUGAUAUAAUGGUCUAAGUGCAGAAUAGUACACUAAACCAUCAAUUUUGAGUCAAAAUUGGGUUGUGGCUAGGUGUUUUUUGGGUUCUGUGUGCUUCUCUAGUUUUGGAACGUUUGAAUAAGUGUAAUUGAUCAUUACAAACUUGUCAGCACUGUUUAAAUGGUCAUUCUCCAUCCUUGUGCACAAAAACAGUUUCAGCCAUUCCAUUUUUGCUAAAUUUCCAACUGAACUAGUGAAAUUCUGCAUUGGACGUUUUCUAGUCUGUUUCAUUGGUUGAACACUUUCCAUUUGAUGAUAUAAACAUGUUAGAAGUGCCAUAUGAACAACUGAGUCCCUAAUGUUCAUUUUCACUACUGCAGUUCCAUUUUAGACCUGUUUUGGUGACAUUUUUCACUAAAAUUGCUACAUAAUUGGCAACUACUACACUNAUUUUGAGAUUCUGUGAUUUCCUGUCCAUUUUCCAUGGUCUAGCAAGUGUAUUUGGUCAAUUAAAGUUUGCUUAUACUGUUCAUAUGGUCAAAGUCUGCAGCUAGUCGAGAAACAUACAUCAAACCACUUCAUUUUAGUACAUUUUAGGAGCNAGACNAGUGAAAUUCNGGUCUGCAUAUUUCUUGGUUGUUUCCAUGAUUUGAACAUGUUUCAAUUGAUGAUAAAAAGUUGUUUGAAGUGUCAUUAGAUAUUCUUAGGCUAAUUUAGGUGA
Molecule: long non-coding RNA, 2216 nt
Filed under: Vigna radiata
Lineage: Eukaryota; Viridiplantae; Streptophyta; Magnoliopsida; Fabales; Fabaceae
Description: long non-coding RNA (VRAD_LNC006968)
Source: RNAcentral